Molecule: small nucleolar RNA, 300 nt
Organism: Morone saxatilis (striped sea-bass)
Lineage: Eukaryota; Metazoa; Chordata; Actinopteri; Moronidae
Source: RefSeq, a predicted model, not a curated record
GCCCAAUGAUGAGACCAAGGCGAAUACGAGCUCACUGAAUGAGAGUUGGGUUCUUCUUGCCUUGACUGGCAGGUAAUCUUGGCAGUGCAGGGGAGGCUUCCUGCUCUGCUGUAAGGGCCUGCCUACAGUGACUUGGCUCGACCCAAAUUAUUCUUCUACAGUCAUAGUGGAGUAAUUCCUGGGAUACAGCUGACAGUGUGUGUGUGUGUGUGUGUGUGUGAGAGAACGAGGCAAGGAGUUCACCCAGCUCUCUUUGCUGUUCAGUCAGCAAUGAGUUGCUUCUUUGGUAAUCUGAGGGCA